UUAGGCUCUUUUUUGGAUCGUAAUAAUUUCAUGGUUUUUUUUUUUUUUUUUUUUUUUUU
RNAcentral lists this non-coding RNA (59 nucleotides) under uncultured Vannella. Lineage: Eukaryota; Discosea; Flabellinia; Vannellidae. The record is from RNAcentral.